AGGGGGGAGAGGGGAACGACGAGUGGGUCCCGCAUAUACCAGGCGCCGCUCCCCCCAAAUCGAGGGCAAUCCUCGCGUUUGUUCCCCAAAAUCCCUAGCGAGUCUCUCUGCUUCAUCCUGCAUCCAGCGCAAUGGAACGGAAAGAGGUCAUGGACCUCGGCAGCGGCGAGCCCAAGGAGAUCAUGGACCUCAUCAGCGGCAAGCCGAUGGAGACCAUAGGCCUCGGCAGCGGCAAGGUCGAGGACUAUCCCUCCGUGAGGCGGCUCCGCAACCGGCGGCUCCUCCUCUACCUCCGGCUCCAGGGCUUCGACACUGCCUACGAUAGCGUUGUGCGCGAGUCGGGUGUGCAGAUGAGCAAGCUACAUCUGCGGCAGCUGCUGAUCUGGGGCCGGUGGAGCGAAGCCCUCAACUACAUCAGGCGCUUCCUGCCGCCGGCGUCCAAAGACCGUGGCCGCGAGGCCCGUUCCCUCCUCUUCUUCCUCAACAUGCUCUGGGCCCUGGACAACGUCGCCGCGUGCUCCAAGAGCGGCCUCGUGAGCGACUCUGCGCACCGCGACCUCCGCUUCCUGACGUCCCUCUGCAGUCGCAGCGCCAAGCUCCCCUCCAUCCUCCGAUACACGCUCCAGCCGCCGCAGUUCAGGGAGUCUCUGGACUGGAUGCUGGUGAGGGAGAAGGCAUCGUUGAUUGUCGAAGCCUGGGCUCUUGACACUCCGGAAUUGAGGCGCAACUUACAAUUGCCUGCCGGCCCAGGUCUCCCGCGGGACGUGCUUCCCAUCGGUCCCAGUCGUCCAAGGCGCCACCGGAGGGAACGAUACCGGCGGGCAAAAGCAUCUACAAUUGCCAAGUCCUAUCUCAACAGGAAGAGGAGCCUGCUGUCUUCAAGUCCACCUCCUGGAUUGCUUGAUGAUGCACUCAACUGGAUGGCUGAUCUUAUUGAGGGAUGUUUAAAAGCUGGUAAAAUUCCGGAGCUCCAUCAAGAGCUGCCACUUCAGUCAAAUGGAAAUGAAGGUUUAUACAUGGAGUAUUUCAUUGAAGUGGCUCGUACACCAUGUUUUGUUCAGCUCAUUCCUAAGCUAAGUUCCAUAUUCUGUUAUUCUUCUGUUGGUUGCUCACAUGUUAUGUACGUUAUCUAUGCACAUGGGCAUGGUAGUUCAUAACAGCACUCCAAUGCAAUUAAGCUGGACGUUGUUCUUUGCACGUUAUCAAUGCCGGGAACCGGCUGUCAUCUCUAACUGCUUAACUGAGUUAACAUAUGAAAUCAUACUUCUUUAGAGAAGUCCAGAUGUUCUAGUGAAGGGCUAUUUACACCAUUGUAAUGUGAUAAAUGAGAUAUAUGCCUUAUUAGUUCUAGGCUAGAAACAUUUACCGUAAGUCCUCUGUUAUGCCACUUCUAACGAACUGCUUGCAGGUGCUUCUGGUUCUCCACUUUUGCAGACCAUGUUUAGUACCGUGACAAAUCCUUCUAAAAACCCUGGGAUCUCAUCAGUGACAAAUGCAGGUGUUCCAAGUUGCACAGGUAGGCCUAAAUGUACUUGGUGCUCAUCAGUUGCAUUUUCAGGUGGUGCAAUCUCACAGCCUUUUAGAACACCUUGGAUCACAUCUGCCUCAAAUGCAGGCCCAAUCAAGCAUUCUGUUGGAAGGAAAAGGAAUUCAGGAGA
Molecule: RNA transcript, 1658 nt
Organism: Triticum aestivum (bread wheat)
Lineage: Eukaryota; Viridiplantae; Streptophyta; Magnoliopsida; Poales; Poaceae
Exons: 11
Source: RefSeq, a predicted model, not a curated record